GGGGAAUAUUGGACAAUGGGCGAAAGCCUGAUCCAGCAAUGCCGCGUGGAUGAAGAAGGUCUUCGGAUUGUAAAGUCCUCUCGGCGGGGACGAUGAUGACGGUACCCGCAGAAGAAGCCCCGGCUAACUUCGUGCCAGCAGCCGCGGUAAUACGAAGGGGGCUAGCGUUGCUCGGAAUGACUGGGCGUAAAGGGCGCGUAGGCGGUUUGAUCAGUUAGGUGUGAAAUUCCUGGGCUUAACCUGGGGGCUGCACUGAAUACGGUCAGACUAGAGUGUGGAAGAGGGUCGUGGAAUUCCCAGUGUAGAGGUGAAAUUCGUAGAUAUUGGGAAGAACACCGGUGGCGAAGGCGGCGACCUGGUCCAUUACUGACGCUGAGGCGCGAAAGCGUGGGGAGCAAAC
Molecule: ribosomal RNA, 400 nt
Filed under: uncultured bacterium
Lineage: Bacteria
Description: bacterial SSU rRNA
Rfam family: Bacterial small subunit ribosomal RNA
Source: RNAcentral